This 510-nucleotide ribosomal RNA is filed under the name uncultured Eubacteriales bacterium. RNAcentral's name for it is "bacterial SSU rRNA". It matches the Rfam family "Bacterial small subunit ribosomal RNA", at positions 1 to 507 of the family's 1533-position model. Lineage: Bacteria; Bacillati; Bacillota; Clostridia; Eubacteriales. The record is from RNAcentral.
CGUACAGAGAGUUUGUAUCCUCGGCUACAGGAUAAAACGACUGGCGGCGCACAUAAAGACAAUGCAAGUCGAACGAACUUAACCCUUUUACGCUUACAUUGGGUAGCGGGUUAGUGGCGGACUGGUGAGUAACACGUAAGCAACCUGCCUAUUAGAGGGGAAUAACAGUGAGAAAUCAUUGCUAAUACCGCAUAUGCUCACAGUAUCACAUGAUACAGUGAGGAAAGGAGCAAUCCACUAAUAGAUGGGCUUGCGUCUGAUUAGCUAGUUGGUGGGGUAACGGCCUACCAAGGCGACGAUCAGUAGCCGGACUGAGAGGUUGAACGGCCACAUUGGGACUGAGAUACGGCCCAGACUCCUACGGGAGGCAGCAGUCGGGAAUAUUGCGCAAUGGAGGAAACUCUGACGCAGUGACGCCGCGUAUAGGAAGAAGGUUUUCGGAUUGUAAACUAUUGUCGUUAGGGAAGAUAAAAGACGGUACCUAAGGAGGAAGCUCCGGCUAACUAUGUG